GAUGAACGCUGGCGGCGUGCCUAAUACAUGCAAGUCGAGCGAAUGGAUUAAGAGCUUGCUCUUAUGAAGUUAGCGGCGGACGGGUGAGUAACACGUGGGUAACCUGCCCAUAAGACUGGGAUAACUCCGGGAAACCGGGGCUAAUACCGGAUAACAUUUUGAACCGCAUGGUUCGAAAUUGAAAGGCGGCUUCGGCUGUCACUUAUGGAUGGACCCGCGUCGCAUUAGCUAGUUGGUGAGGUAACGGCUCACCAAGGCAACGAUGCGUAGCCGACCUGAGAGGGUGAUCGGCCACACUGGGACUGAGACACGGCCCAGACUCCUACGGGAGGCAGCAGUAGGGAAUCUUCCGCAAUGGACGAAAGUCUGACGGAGCAACGCCGCGUGAGUGAUGAAGGCUUUCGGGUCGUAAAACUCUGUUGUUAGGGAAGAACAAGUGCCAGUUGAAUAAGCUGGCACCUUGACGGUACCCAACCAGAAAGCCACGGCUAACUACGUGCCAGCAGCCGCCGUAA
Molecule: ribosomal RNA, 515 nt
Filed under: uncultured bacterium
Lineage: Bacteria
Description: partial 16S ribosomal RNA
Rfam family: Bacterial small subunit ribosomal RNA
Source: RNAcentral